RNAcentral lists this ribosomal RNA (486 nucleotides) under uncultured bacterium. RNAcentral's name for it is "partial 16S ribosomal RNA". It matches the Rfam family "Bacterial small subunit ribosomal RNA", at positions 30 to 507 of the family's 1533-position model. The record is from RNAcentral.
AUUGAACGCUGGCGGCAUGCCUUACACAUGCAAGUCGAACGGCAGCACGGGUGCUUGCACCUGGUGGCGAGUGGCGAACGGGUGAGUAAUACAUCGGAACAUGUCCUGUAGUGGGGGAUAGCCCGGCGAAAGCCGGAUUAAUACCGCAUACGAUCUACGGAUGAAAGCGGGGGACCUUCGGGCCUCGCGCUAUAGGGUUGGCCGAUGGCUGAUUAGCUAGUUGGUGGGGUAAAGGCCUACCAAGGCGACGAUCAGUAGCUGGUCUGAGAGGACGACCAGCCACACUGGGACUGAGACACGACCCAGACUCCUACGGGAGGCAGCAGUGGGGAAUUUUGGACAAUGGGCGAAAGCCUGAUCCAGCAAUGCCGCGUGUGUGAAGAAGGCCUUCGGGUUGUAAAGCACUUUUGUCCGGAAAGAAAUCCUUGGCCCUAAUACGGUCGGGGGAUGACGGUACCGGAAGAAUAAGCACCGGCUAACUACGUG